This 1020-nucleotide non-coding RNA is filed under the name Trichomonas vaginalis G3. RNAcentral describes it as "Eukaryotic small subunit ribosomal RNA". It matches the Rfam family "Eukaryotic small subunit ribosomal RNA", at positions 563 to 1729 of the family's 1831-position model. Lineage: Eukaryota; Parabasalia; Trichomonadida; Trichomonadidae. The record is from Rfam by way of RNAcentral.
GGUGCCAGCAGCUGCGGUAAUUCCAGCUCUGCGAGUUUGCUCCCAUAUUGUUGCAGUUAAAACGCCAGUAGUCUGAAUUGGCCAGCAAUGGUCGUACGUAUUUUUACGUUCACUGUGAACAAAUCAGGACGCUUAGAGUAUGGCCACAUGAAUGACUCAGCGCAGUAUGAAGUCUUUGUUUUCUUCCGAAAACAAGCUCAAUGAGAGCCAUCGGGGGUAGAUCUAUCUCAUGACGAGUGGUGGAAUACUUUGACUCAUGAGAGAGAAGCUGAGGCGAAGGCGUCUACCUAGAGGGUUUCUGUCGAUCAAGGGCGAGAGUAGGAGUAUCCAACAGGAUUAGAGACCCUGGUAGUUCCUACCUUAAACGAUGCCGACAGGAGUUUGUCAUUUGUUAAUGGCAGAAUCUUUGGAGAAAUCAUAGUUCUUGGGCUCUGGGGGAACUACGACCGCAAGGCUGAAACUUGAAGGAAUUGACGGAAGGGCACACCAGGGGUGGAGCCUGUGGCUUAAUUUGAAUCAACACGGGGAAACUUACCAGGACCAGAUGUUUUUUAUGACUGACAGGCUUCGGGUCUUUCAGGAUAUUGUUUUUGGUGGUGCAUGGCCGUUGGUGGUGCGUGGGUUGACCUGUCUAGCGUUGAUUCAGCUAACGAGCGAGAUUAUCGCCAAUUAUUUACUUUGCCGAAGUCCUUCGGUUAAAGUUCUAAUUGGGACUCCCUGCGAUUUUAGCAGGUGGAAGAGGGUAGCAAUAACAGGUCCGUGAUGCCCUUUAGAUGCUCUGGGCUGCACGCGUGCUACAAUGUUAGGAUCAAUAGGACUGCGAGCCUGAGAGGGUGCGCUACUCUUAUAAUCCCUAACGUAGUUGGGAUUGACGUUUGUAAUCAGCGUCAUGAACCAGGAAUCCCUUGUAAAUGUGUGUCAACAACGCACGUUGAAUACGUCCCUGCCCUUUGUACACACCGCCCGUCGCUCCUACCGAUUGGAUGACUCGGUGAAAUCACCGGAUGCUUACGAGCAGAA